RNAcentral lists this ribosomal RNA (274 nucleotides) under uncultured bacterium. RNAcentral describes it as "partial 16S ribosomal RNA". It matches the Rfam family "Bacterial small subunit ribosomal RNA", at positions 523 to 796 of the family's 1533-position model. The record is from RNAcentral.
AUACAGAGGGUGCGAGCGUUAAUCGGAAUUACUGGGCGUAAAGCGCGCGUAGGCGGCUUAUUAAGUCAGAUGUGAAAUCCCCGGGCUCAACCUGGGAACUGCAUCUGAUACUGGUAAGCUAGAGUUUUGGAGAGGGAAGUAGAAUUUCAGGUGUAGCGGUGAAAUGCAUAGAGAUCUGAAGGAAUACCAGUGGCGAAGGCGACUUCCUGGCCAAAAACUGACGCUGAGGUGCGAAAGCGUGGGCAGCAAACGGGAUUAGAAACCCUAGUAGUCC